Long non-coding RNA from Jatropha curcas, 702 nucleotides. RefSeq lists it as uncharacterized. NCBI's taxonomy places the organism in Eukaryota, Viridiplantae, Streptophyta, Magnoliopsida, Malpighiales, Euphorbiaceae. The record is from RefSeq and is a predicted model, not a curated record.
UCUCUUUUUCUCUCUUCCUCUCUUCUUCUUCGCGCAAGCAAGGAGUAGCGCCGCUCCUCCUCCCUCUCCUCGUUUCGGGCCACCGCUCAACGAAAGCUAGGUGGCGGUCGGCUCGUCUGGUGCUGGUGGUCAUGUCUCCAGCCUCCUCUCGCGCGAAAGGAGCUUCAAUGGGAGCGAAACGGAGUUGUUCUCCUUGACAGCUCGUGCUCACCAAACUCCAGCGAUCCACGCCAUUUCCAGCUGCUUCAAGGCGAGGGACAUGCUUUGAUCGACUCCUCUCUUCCCAACGAGUCUCUUUCUUCCAUCAGUUUCGGCGACAAAGCUUGCUUGAGGAAAACGCCAUGAAAGGAGGUGGCGAAGCCACUGUCAGGGCCAUUUCCGGCGAAACAAGGCUUAACCAGUCCAAAUUGAUCACGAAUCCGGAGUCCCCAUGAGAUUUCGAGUAUUUUGUUAUAUAUGUUGUAAAAUUCUGGGCAAAAGUUGCUUUUCCGGCCACCGUGAACGGCGGCGACGGCAGCGGUCCGGCGACCGGCCAACGAUUCUCCGGCCAGGCACCAAAAGGCGAAAUCUUCCUUUUCUCGUGUAGGCUGUGGAUUCGUCAUCCGAUUUUUGAUCGAUGUUUAUAAAGUCCCGAAAGGUGAAGACAAAUGCUGGAAGCGUACAAUAAUAAAGAUAGUCCUUUCAAGGACAACAAAAAACUGU